GGGGCUCCCAGAACCCACUCUCCCCAAAGGCGAGUUUCCCAGACGCCGCUCGUGCUGUUGCUGGAAAGCGAGCUCGCUGUAGACCGGCCGCGACACCACGUAGCUGCAGCUGUACUCGGGGAGCUGCGGCGGCUCCGACCUGCCGCGUGGCGCUGCCAUGACCUGCGAGCCAGAGGACAGCGAGGAGGGAGGAGACGCGAGACAGGGUUUUGCCAUCUUGCUCAGGCUGGUCUCAAACUCCUGUGCUCAAGCGAUCCACCUGCUUCGUCCUCCCAGGGUGCUGGGAUUACAUGUGUGAGCCACCACACCCAGAGGAAAUGACAUUUGAAGAGAGACUAAAGGAUGAGAAACAGCCUUCCUGGAAGAGGAAACAGCAAAUGCAAAAAUUCUGAGUUAGGAAAGAACUUGAUGCACUUGAGAAACAAAAAGAAGGCCGGCAAGACUGAAAUCCACAUAAGUCAGACCCGGGCACAGCAAACUGGACGUCCUCAGUAUAUAUGUGGCAACUGAAACCAGGCAUUUAGGACAUGAUCUCAUUCUGUUGCCCAGGGUGAGUGCAGCGGCACCUUCAUGGCUCAUUGCAGUCUCGAUCUCCCAGGCUCAAGCGAUCCUCCCACCUCAGCCUCCCAAAGUGCUGAGAUUGCAGGUGUGAGCCACCUUGCCCAGACCAUUCUGCAAUCUUCGGAAGGAAGUCAUUAUAUGCAGCCUACGCUUGAGGAGUGGGGAGUUGAAUUCCACAUCCUUGAGGGCAGAAUACCUAAAUAAAUUAUUUGGAAUUCUUCUGCAAGAGA
This 791-nucleotide non-coding RNA is filed under the name Pongo abelii (Sumatran orangutan). Lineage: Eukaryota; Metazoa; Chordata; Mammalia; Primates; Hominidae. The record is from RNAcentral.